Lycium barbarum (goji berry) is the source of this 763-nucleotide long non-coding RNA. RefSeq lists it as uncharacterized. The transcript has 5 exons. The record is from RefSeq and is a predicted model, not a curated record. Lineage: Eukaryota; Viridiplantae; Streptophyta; Magnoliopsida; Solanales; Solanaceae.
AUUAUGGCCAAAUACAAAUCUAGUCUUUCUUCUAUAUCGCCGCUCUCAUUUUUCUCGCCUCUCGCGUCUCUCAUCUCACGUCACCUGCAAGUGAAAUUCCAUGUCUCCUUCUAUAUUCAGUAGUCCUAUUUUGACAACAAACUAUUAUCAGCUACAAUGUGGAAACUCGAAGAACUUUUUGGUGAUUUUGGGAUUUUGAAUAACCAACUUUCAAACUGAAUCUUGGGUGCAUUCGAGGCAUUACAUAGUUCAAAAUGAUAAUAAAGGCUGAAAUUCAAGGACUUGGCUCAAAUCGGGAAAGGAAUGUUGAUAAUGACAUAGAUUAGUUGGCCGCCUCUUAUGAUAUUGAAAAGGUUCUGGUCCAAAUUUGAAGAUAACUCUGGUGGAUAAUGCAAGACCAAAGAGCAGUAAAACACCAUGUCUAAUCAUCAGAUGUCCCCUUUUAUUGUCCGGGGGCCUGCAUUUCACAAUGUAGGUACUGAUUUACAGGACGACGCAUCUGCUUAGUAGGAUUUCGCACUUAUCAGCUUUUGGGUGAGCCCCAUCUCUUCCUGGGAUUAGACAUUUAUUGUUUAUUUAUUUUCAUGAUAAGAUGUGCAUUUAAAGGUAUGCUUGGGGGCCUUGUCCCAGCAGGUACGUUUUCAUGUUCAGACUUAUGUUAGAGGUUUCAUAGACUAAACAAGUUAGUUAGGUUAUGUCAGACUUUUAGAGUCGGUUAGCCAUUUUGGCUCAUUUAUGAUAUUAUUCGCAUUCAUGAUUUAAA